Molecule: long non-coding RNA, 2230 nt
Filed under: Mus musculus (house mouse)
Lineage: Eukaryota; Metazoa; Chordata; Mammalia; Rodentia; Muridae
Description: long non-coding RNA chr19:60226759-60228989
Source: RNAcentral
GGGAACAGCCUGGCUUGCCUAAACGCCUCUGCUAAGAGGAGCCUGUUGAGGUUUUGUUUUUGUUUUUUGUUUGUUUGUUUGUUUGUUUGUUUGUUUGUUUGUUUUUCUCCUUUUCCUCACUUUAACCAAGCGAUUUUUUUUUAAAGUUUUGUCCUUUCCUCGCUCCUUUCCUGUGCUGGUGAACUUGGCUAAAGAAAAUGCUGACUUCGAUGCCCACCUGAGUUCAAUGGAGAACUGUAGAUGAUCUCUUCAAGGAAGGCUUUGCUUCCUUCGCUUCCUCGCCACCCCUCUCCCCAGCCUUUCCUAUCUUUUUGCGUAUAUUUGAGUGUCCACUGUGUUCCAGGCCUCAUGCAAUUCUCAACCGGAUUCCAGUUCUCCAGGGACUUUCCAGUCUGGUUGACCGAAUCAAAUCCAGCUAAGCACCCCCUACUCAGAAGUUGAUUUACCAGGCUGGCAUAGUGUAUAGGUCCUGAUGAGGGGUUUACCGGCGUGUAAAUGAGGAAAAGAGCAGAAAUUUUCACCAUGUGAAAACAGUAAAUCCAGGCGAUGAUACGGGGAUGAAGUAGGACCACUUCAGAAAUGCUUCCAUUUUCUGAAGUACUGUUCUGUACUCAGAUUAUGUUUCUAUUUUCUUGUGAUGGUUAUAUAAGAAACUACAGGGCUGAGAGAUAGCUCAGUAAGAACCUAAGUUCAUUCCACCCUCAGAAUCCGUAUUUUAAAAGCCAGGCAUGGCAGCCAGCACUGUGGAUGCAGACAGGCAGACUAGCCUACGAGGCAAGCUCUAGGCCAGUGACCACAAAAGACAGGUGGGCAACCCCUAAGGAACUACACUUUCGAGUUGUCUUCUGACCUAAUGCACAUGCAUUAGAACACAUAUAUGGCACAUGCACAUACAAAAUACAAAGCCUUGAACAAGUUUAAAAAAACUUAUGAAAAAUUAAACUUUGCAGAAUUGAUUUGAACAAACAGUUGUUUCAUGAAUAGACUCUGGCCCAGUCAAAGUUCAGAGUGUUCCAUCAGUGAGCAAGCAAUCUUUGUAAAUUAAAAAAAGGUAAAAAGAAACAUAUAAUACUGUGGUUGGUCAUAUCUUAGUAUUUACCUUAUAAAAACAUGGUGUGAUCAGCUGUCAUACUGACUGGCUAAAAGUCAACUACUAUGACUGACUAAGACUCAGCAACACGUUAUAAGAAUACUAACAUACUCUUAAGUGAAGCUGCAGUUCAAGCUAUUUAGUUUUUCAAAGGAAGGAGUUGGUUGUAGGCCAAACUUAAUGCACACAUGGCUUAACUUACAGUAAUUUUCACUUAUUCACAUUAUGAACAAGAACCUUUUAAAAUAUUGUGAUGUACAAAAUUCUUGCCUCUAUUCAAUAAUGUGAAUGGAUUAAUCAUUAUUACAUAUUUAAUCCUAAUAUUUAAACAUACAUUAUACCCAUGCAUUGUCCAAUAACUUCUGGAAGAUAUGCAAGUUUAUGAUGUAGUGUUCUAGAAUCAUGAUUUGAUAAGUUUGCAUGACGGAGGAUUCCUUUCAAGCAUUCCCUGAUUCUAGGGAAAAGCAUAACUAUCAGCAUUGAGCAGGUAAUUGCUGUGUCAGUUUGCUGUGAGUUGCUAUAACAAAAUACCACAGACUGGGUAUCUUAAUCAAUGCAUUUCUCCAGCUCUGGAUUCUGCAAUGUCUGGCACAUGGUCUUUUCUCUUGGCUUGUAAGCAGCUACUAGCUCAGUGUGCUCACAUGACCUAGUUGAAACACAGUUUAGGAGAGUGCUCUGAAGCCCUCAUAAGGAUACUAAUGGGACCAGGUCAGAGACACAUUCUUUUGAUUUUACUUUGGUUACUCACUUAGAGAUCCCAUCUCCAGAUAUAACUAUGUGAUGGAUUAAGGCUUCUACAUGGAUUUGGGGGAAAACUAUAUUUAUUCCAUAACAACUGCUAGAGGCAGAGGAGUGACCAGAAUAGUGAGGGGGCAGGGAAGAAGCUAUAGCAUGGGGUAGAAAGAAAUAAUGCUAGCAUGAUUAGUCCCUAGUUUUUUCUACAUUCAUCCCAUCCAUGAACGCUCAUUACUUACUGCAUGUGAUUGUGCAUUGGGUAGAACUGGAAUAAAAAUGCCAAAGAUGUACAGUCUUAGCAUAUAUACGUUUAUAUACAUAUAUAAUUACAUGUAUGUUUUCCAAAUGUUAAUAUGAAAUGUCUUAAAUACCCGCUUAUGACACUAAUAAAGUUUGAUAAUAAAC